Molecule: transfer RNA, 76 nt
Filed under: Caudoviricetes sp.
Lineage: Duplodnaviria; Heunggongvirae; Uroviricota; Caudoviricetes
Description: tRNA-Gly
Rfam family: tRNA
About the family: Transfer RNA (tRNA) molecules are approximately 80 nucleotides in length. Their secondary structure includes four short double-helical elements and three loops (D, anti-codon, and T loops).
Source: RNAcentral
GCAGGAUUAGUGUUAGCGGCUAGCACGUCUGCCUUCCAAGCAGAAAGGGCCGGUUCGAAUCCGGUAUCUUGCUCCA